This 938-nucleotide ribosomal RNA is filed under the name uncultured bacterium. RNAcentral's name for it is "bacterial SSU rRNA". It matches the Rfam family "Bacterial small subunit ribosomal RNA", at positions 563 to 1499 of the family's 1533-position model. The record is from RNAcentral.
AAGCGUGCGCAGGCGGUUUUGUAAGUCAGAUGUGAAAUCCCCGAGCUCAACUUGGGAACUGCGUUUGAAACUACAAGACUAGAAUAUGUCAGAGGGGGGUAGAAUUCCACGUGUAGCAGUGAAAUGCGUAGAGAUGUGGAGGAAUACCAAUGGCGAAGGCAGCCCCCUGGGAUAAUAUUGACGCUCAUGCACGAAAGCGUGGGGAGCAAACAGGAUUAGAUACCCUGGUAGUCCACGCCCUAAACGAUGUCUACUAGUUGUUGGUGGAGUAAAAUCCAUGAGUAACGCAGCUAACGCGUGAAGUAGACCGCCUGGGGAGUACGGUCGCAAGAUUAAAACUCAAAUGAAUUGACGGGGGCCCGCACAAGCGGUGGAUUAUGUGGAUUAAUUCGAUGCAACGCGAAAAACCUUACCUGGCCUUGACAUGUAACGAACUUUCCAGAGAUGGAUUGGUGCUCGAAAGAGAGCGUUAACACAGGUGCUGCAUGGCUGUCGUCAGCUCGUGUCGUGAGAUGUUGGGUUAAGUCCCGCAACGAGCGCAACCCUUGCCAUUAAUUGCCAUCAUUUAGUUGGGCACUUUAAUGGGACUGCCGGUGACAAACCGGAGGAAGGUGGGGAUGACGUCAAGUCCUCAUGGCCCUUAUGGCCAGGGCUUCACACGUAAUACAAUGGUCGGUACAGAGGGUUGCCAAGCCGCGAGGUGGAGCCAAUCCCAGAAAGCCGAUCGUAGUCCGGAUUGUAGUCUGCAACUCGACUACAUGAAGUCGGAAUCGCUAGUAAUCGCGGAUCAGCAUGUCGCGGUGAAUACGUUCCCGGGCCUUGUACACACCGCCCGUCACACCAUGGGAGUGAGUUUUACCAGAAGUAGGUAGUCUAACCUUCGGGAGGACGCUUACCACGGUAGUAUUCAUGACUGGGGUGAAGUCGUAACAAGGUAA